UACAGAGGUGGCAAGCGUUGUUCGGAAUUACUGGGCGUAAAGGGCGCGUAGGCGGCCUUGUAAGUCCUGUGUGAAAUCCCCCGGCUCAACUGGGGAACUGCACAGGAGACUGCUUGGCUUGAGUUCGGGAGAGGGAAGCGGAAUUCCGGGUGUAGCGGUGAAAUGCGUAGAUAUCCGGAGGAACACCGGUGGCGAAGGCGGCUUCCUGGACCGACACUGACGCUGAGGCGCGAAAGCUAGGGGAGCAAACAGG
RNAcentral lists this ribosomal RNA (253 nucleotides) under uncultured bacterium. RNAcentral describes it as "partial 16S ribosomal RNA". It matches the Rfam family "Bacterial small subunit ribosomal RNA", at positions 524 to 776 of the family's 1533-position model. The record is from RNAcentral.